UGCUCAUUUUGGCAGCAGUAUACUAAAAUUGGAACAAUACAUAGAAAAUUAGCAUGGCCCCUAAAAAAAAAACAAAAGCUAGGUGUGGUGGCUCACGCCUGU
Small nuclear RNA from Sapajus apella (tufted capuchin), 102 nucleotides. Lineage: Eukaryota; Metazoa; Chordata; Mammalia; Primates; Cebidae. The record is from RefSeq and is a predicted model, not a curated record.